Molecule: ribosomal RNA, 497 nt
Filed under: uncultured bacterium
Lineage: Bacteria
Description: partial 16S ribosomal RNA
Rfam family: Bacterial small subunit ribosomal RNA
Source: RNAcentral
GACGAACGCUGGCGGCGUGCCUAAUACAUGCAAGUUGAGCGCUGAAGGUUGGUACUUGUACCAACUGGAUGAGCAGCGAACGGGUGAGUAACGCGUGGGGAAUCUGCCUUUGAGCGGGGGACAACAUUUGGAAACGAAUGCUAAUACCGCAUAAAAACUUUAAACACAAGUUUUAAGUUUGAAAGAUGCAAUUGCAUCACUCAAAGAUGAUCCCGCGUUGUAUUAGCUAGUUGGUGAGGUAAAGGCUCACCAAGGCGAUGAUACAUAGCCGACCUGAGAGGGUGAUCGGCCACAUUGGGACUGAGACACGGCCCAAACUCCUACGGGAGGCAGCAGUAGGGAAUCUUCGGCAAUGGACGAAAGUCUGACCGAGCAACGCCGCGUGAGUGAAGAAGGUUUUCGGAUCGCAAAACUCGGUUGGUAGAGAAGAACGUUGGUGAGAGUGGAAAGCUCAUCAAGUGACGGUAACUACCCAGAAAGGGACGGCUAACUACGUG